This 490-nucleotide ribosomal RNA is filed under the name uncultured bacterium. RNAcentral describes it as "bacterial SSU rRNA". It matches the Rfam family "Bacterial small subunit ribosomal RNA", at positions 341 to 847 of the family's 1533-position model. The record is from RNAcentral.
ACGGGAGGCAGCAGUGGGGAAUAUUGCACAAUGGGGGAAACCCUGAUGCAGCGACGCCGCGUGAGCGAUGAAGUAUUUCGGUAUGUAAAGCUCUAUCAGCAGGGAAGAAAAUGACGGUACCUGACUAAGAAGCACCGGCUAAAUACGUGCCAGCAGCCGCGGUAAUACGUAUGGUGCAAGCGUUAUCCGGAUUUACUGGGUGUAAAGGGAGCGUAGACGGAGAGGCAAGUCUGAUGUGAAAACCCGGGGCUCAACCCCGGGACUGCAUUGGAAACUGCUUUUCUAGAGUGUCGGGGAGGUAAGUGGAAUUCCUAGUGUAGCGGUGAAAUGCGUAGAUAUUAGGAGGAACACCAGUGGCGAAGGCGGCUUACUGGACGAUGACUGACGUUGAGGCUCGAAAGCGUGGGGAGCAAACAGGAUUAGAUACCCUGGUAGUCCACGCCGUAAACGAUGACUGUCUAGGUGUCGGGAGGCAAAGCCUUUCGGUGCC